UUAAUCAAUAUCUAAGUGGACCAUGAGU
This 28-nucleotide non-coding RNA is filed under the name Bombyx mori (domestic silkworm). The record is from RNAcentral. Lineage: Eukaryota; Metazoa; Arthropoda; Insecta; Lepidoptera; Bombycidae.